Molecule: ribosomal RNA, 492 nt
Filed under: uncultured bacterium
Lineage: Bacteria
Description: partial 16S ribosomal RNA
Rfam family: Bacterial small subunit ribosomal RNA
Source: RNAcentral
GAUGAACGCUAGCUACAGGCUUAACACAUGCAAGUCGAGGGGAAACGGCAUUAAGUGCUUGCACUUUUUGGACGUCGACCGGCGCACGGGUGAGUAACGCGUAUCCAACCUUCCCAUGACUAAGGGAUAACCUGCCGAAAGGCAGACUAAUACCUUAUGGUCUUCACUGACAGCAUCAGAUGUGAAGUAAAGAUUUAUCGGUUAUGGAUGGGGAUGCGUCUGAUUAGCUUGUUGGCGGGGUAACGGCCCACCAAGGCAACGAUCAGUAGGGGUUCUGAGAGGAAGGUCCCCCACAUUGGAACUGAGACACGGUCCAAACUCCUACGGGAGGCAGCAGUGAGGAAUAUUGGUCAAUGGGCGAGAGCCUGAACCAGCCAAGUAGCGUGCAGGAGGACGGCCCUAUGGGUUGUAAACUGCUUUUGUAUGGGGAUAAAGUCAAUCACGUGUGAUUGUUUGCAGGUACCAUACGAAUAAGGACCGGCUAAUUCCGUG